GAAAUGCGAUAAGUAAUGUGAAUUCCAGAAUUCAGUGAAUCAUCGAAUCUUUGAACGCACAUUGCGCCCGCCAGUAUUCUGGCGGGCAUGCCUGUCCGAGCGUCAUUUCAACCAUCAAGCCCCCGGGCUUGUGUUGGGGACCUGCGGCUGCCCGCAGGCCCUGAAAACCAGUGGCGGGCUCGCUGUCACACCGAGCGUAGUAGCAAUCACCUCGCUCAGGGCGUGCUGCGGGUUCCGGCCGUUAAACAGCCUUACAAAACCCAAGGUUGACCUCGGAUCAGGUAGGAAGACCCGCUGAACUUAAGC
This 306-nucleotide unclassified non-coding RNA is filed under the name plant metagenome. Its description in RNAcentral is "partial contains 5.8S ribosomal RNA, internal transcribed spacer 2, and large subunit ribosomal RNA". The stretch from base 1 to 105 matches the Rfam family "5.8S ribosomal RNA", at positions 50 to 154 of the family's 154-position model. The record is from RNAcentral.